GAAUGUUUCAGAGUGAUAAUGUCAGCGAAUAGGAAUCAUACUGAAACGGUUACUGGCGAGUACGACAUCAUUGCAAGUACGAGUCACUUUUAAAAUGAAGAUAGCCAGUCUCUACCUGGUAUGGAUAGUGACCUUCAUUGUACAAGUUGGCAUGGUGUCCAACACCAGACGUGUCCGAACAUUCACAUUGUUCAAGCAGAAAUACACCUGGAAUGAAGCUCAAGAUGUUUGUGAUCAAUUUGGACAAAAUAUGCUGACCAUCAAGAAUCCGGAAGAGGUG
Long non-coding RNA from Haliotis rufescens (red abalone), 280 nucleotides. RefSeq lists it as uncharacterized. The transcript has 3 exons. The record is from RefSeq and is a predicted model, not a curated record. Lineage: Eukaryota; Metazoa; Mollusca; Gastropoda; Lepetellida; Haliotidae.